UACGUAGGGGGCAAGCGUUGUCCGGAAUCAUUGGGCGUAAAGAGCGUGUAGGCGGCCCGAUAAGUCCGCUGUGAAAGUCCAGGGCUCAACCCUGGAAUGCCGGUGGAUACUGUCGGGCUCGAAUCCGGAAGAGGUGAGUGGAAUUCCUGGUGUAGAGGUGAAAUUCGUAGAUAUUGGGUGGAACACCGGUGGCGAAAGCGGCUCACUGGCUCGGUUCUGACGCUGAGGCGCGAAAGCGUGGGGAGCAAACAGG
Molecule: ribosomal RNA, 253 nt
Filed under: uncultured bacterium
Lineage: Bacteria
Description: partial 16S ribosomal RNA
Rfam family: Bacterial small subunit ribosomal RNA
Source: RNAcentral